RNAcentral lists this ribosomal RNA (364 nucleotides) under uncultured bacterium. RNAcentral's name for it is "bacterial SSU rRNA". It matches the Rfam family "Bacterial small subunit ribosomal RNA", at positions 149 to 501 of the family's 1533-position model. The record is from RNAcentral.
GUGGAAACCAGUUGCUAAUACCGAAUAAAACUUAGUAUCGCCUGAUAUCAAGUUAAAAGGCGCUACGGCGUCACCUAGAGAUGGAUCCGCGGUGCAUUAGUUAGUUGGUGGGGUAAAGGCUUACCAAGACGAUGAUGCAUAGCCGAGUUGAGAGACUGAUCGGCCACAUUGGGACUGAGACACGGCCCAAACUCCUACGGGAGGCUGCAGUAGGGAAUCUUCCACAAUGGGCGCAAGCCUGAUGGAGCAACGCCGCGUGUGUGAUGAAGGCUUUCGGGUCGUAAAGCACUGUUGUAUGGGAAGAAAUGCUAAAAUAGGGAAUGAUUUUAGUUUGACGGUACCAUACCAGAAAGGGACGGCUAAC